GGUUUAAAAGAAAUUUGAGUGCAAAUCAAAUGGUGGGCUUGACGGCCCUGAGCCU
RNAcentral lists this transfer RNA (55 nucleotides) under Diporiphora winneckei. Its description in RNAcentral is "tRNA-Cys". The record is from RNAcentral. Lineage: Eukaryota; Metazoa; Chordata; Lepidosauria; Squamata; Agamidae.